GCUCUAAGUUCUGGAAGGUGUGUGCACA
RNAcentral lists this non-coding RNA (28 nucleotides) under Homo sapiens (human). Lineage: Eukaryota; Metazoa; Chordata; Mammalia; Primates; Hominidae. The record is from RNAcentral.